Zea mays is the source of this 3952-nucleotide RNA transcript. RefSeq lists it as uncharacterized. Lineage: Eukaryota; Viridiplantae; Streptophyta; Magnoliopsida; Poales; Poaceae. The record is from RefSeq and is marked validated. The transcript is spliced from 9 exons.
GUAAAUAGUUGGAAACAAGCGCUGCCCACAGCAAAAAGCUCGGCCGCAGACAUUUCCGGUGCUGCGGGCGCUGCGCAUCUCUUGCCACCCAGGUGGGAGUUUGUGGGCCAGUCCGUUUGAAACCGUGACACUGUCGUCAGGGCCCACCGCCAGUCCACCUUUUCCUCUCACCCCAUCCCAUCUCCGGAUCUAUCGCCCUCGCCAUCGGCAAUCGGCAUCGCCACCGGUAGUGGGAGGGAGCAAGGGGGGGACCCAGGCCAACGCCGCGCACCUUUGCCCUCUUAUCAUCAUCAACAUCACCACGGGCGGGGGAGACGGCCCUCGAAGCGUACCCGUCCCCAUCCUCCUUUUCCGAACCACCGGAGCGCGGCGGCGCGGCGCGAGACCCUUCCCGGCUUCUACUCCUCCGAUCCUCCGCACCGGCUGACGAGUAGCCCACUCACUGGGGGACGUGGGAUCGAUCGGCGGCUGAUGGGAGGCUAGAUUCCGCAAUCCCACAGACUAGACACAUCCCCUUCGCGGUUGACUUUGGCGAAUCGACCUUGAUCUGAAAAUGGGGCUGUUCCGGGCGGCGUCCGGCCUGGCCCGUUUGGCUCUGCGAAGGAACCUCUUGCGCGCCGCGGCAAGCCCCUUUGCCGCCGGCGGUGGCGCCGUCCCAGGUGCCGCGCCGGCGCGCUACUUCCACUCCACCUGCCCGCGCCGGUUCGCUGCGCCCACGCCCCGUGCUGUGCCGCUCUCGCGCCUCACCGACAGCUUCCUUGAUGGGACCAGCAGCGUCUACCUCGAGGAGCUGCAGCGGGCCUGGGAGGCCGACCCCAGCUCUGUCGAUGAGUCCUGGGACAACUUUUUCCGCAACUUCGUCGGCCAGGCUGCCACCACCUCACCCGGCCUCUCUGGGCAGACCAUCCAGGAGAGCAUGAGGCUGCUGCUGCUCGUCAGGGCAUACCAGGUGAGCGGCCACCUGAAAGCCAAGCUCGACCCGCUCGGGCUUGAGGAGCGUCCGGUCCCGGAUGUGUUGGACCCGGCGUUCUAUGGGUUCUCUGAGGCGGACUUAGACCGCGAGUUCUUUCUUGGGGUGUGGAUGAUGGCUGGGUUCUUGUCUGAAAACCGGCCAGUGCAGACGCUGCGCUCGGUGCUGGAGCGGCUCGAGCAGGCCUAUUGCGGUACCAUUGGGUAUGAGUACAUGCACAUACCUGACAGGGAGAAGUGCAACUGGCUCAGGGAUAGGAUUGAGACAGUUAACCCAAUGGAUUACACUUAUGACCGUCGUCAGGUCAUGCUUGAUAGGCUUAUCUGGAGCACACAGUUUGAGAGUUUCUUGGCGACCAAGUGGACAACUGCAAAACGGUUCGGUCUUGAAGGUGCUGAGACUCUGAUCCCUGGCAUGAAGGAGAUGUUUGACAGGGCAGCUCAUCUUGGUGUAGAGAGUAUUGUCAUUGGGAUGCCACACAGAGGCAGGUUAAAUGUCUUGGGAAAUGUUGUGAGGAAGCCCUUGCGACAGAUAUUUAGCGAGUUCAGUGGUGGCACCAAGCCUGUCAAUGAAGGCGAGGGGUUGUAUACAGGGACUGGUGAUGUCAAGUACCAUCUUGGAACUUCAUAUGAUAGGCCUACCAGGGGUGGGAAACAUAUCCAUCUGUCACUGGUUGCAAACCCGAGUCAUUUGGAAGCAGUUGAUCCUGUUGUUGCUGGGAAAACAAGAGCGAAGCAGUACUAUUCUAAUGACCGUGACAGGACCAAGAAUUUGGGAGUGUUGCUGCAUGGUGAUGGUAGUUUCUCAGGGCAGGGCGUUGUGUAUGAGACGCUGCAUCUCAGUGCCCUUGAAAACUACACCACUGGUGGGACAAUACAUAUCGUGGUCAAUAAUCAGGUUGCUUUCACUACUGAUCCAAGGUCAGGGAGAUCCUCACAAUAUUGCACAGAUGUAGCAAAAGCAUUGGAUGCUCCUAUUUUCCAUGUUAACGGUGAUGAUUUGGAGGCUGUUGUUCAUGUCUGUGAGCUCGCCGCAGAAUGGCGUCAGACAUUUCAUUCAGAUGUAGUGGUGGACAUUGUAUGCUACCGGCGAUUUGGCCAUAAUGAAAUUGAUGAGCCGUCCUUCACCCAACCUAAGAUGUACAAGGUGAUUAGGAACCAUCCAAGUGCGCUAGAGAUUUAUCAAAGGAAGUUGUUAGAGUCUGGGAAGAUCUCAAAGGAAGAUAUUGAUAGGUUAAACAAAAAGGUCAGCACUAUACUUAAUGAGGAAUUUCAGAACAGCAAAGACUAUGUUCCCAACAAGAGGGACUGGCUUUCAGCUUACUGGACUGGGUUCAAGUCACCAGAGCAGAUUUCGCGUAUCCGAAACACCGGUGUCAAGCCAGAGAUUCUAAAACGUGUUGGAGAAGCCAUGACUACUCUGCCAGAAAAUUUCAAGCCUCACAGGGCUGUGAAGAAGAUUUUUGAUCUACGGCGUCAGAUGAUCGAGACUGGAGAAGGCAUUGAUUGGGCAGUUGGUGAAGCACUUGCUUUUGCUACUCUUAUAAUUGAGGGGAACCAUGUCAGGUUAAGUGGUCAGGAUGUUGAGAGGGGUACAUUUAGCCAUCGACACUCUGUCAUCCAUGACCAAGAAACUGGAGAGCAGUACUGCCCGCUGGAUCAUCUUGUUAUGAACCAAGAUGCGGAGCUUUUUACUGUGAGCAACAGUUCCCUGUCAGAAUUUGCUGUUUUGGGCUUUGAAUUGGGUUACUCCAUGGAGAACCCAAACUCAUUGGUCUUAUGGGAAGCUCAGUUUGGUGAUUUUUCAAAUGGAGCUCAAGUGAUAUUUGAUCAGUUCCUGAGUAGUGGGGAGUCAAAAUGGCUCCGCCAGACUGGCCUUGUCGUUUGCCUUCCUCAUGGAUAUGAUGGUCAGGGGCCUGAACAUUCUAGUGCAAGAUUGGAACGCUUUCUUCAGAUGAGUGAUGACAACCCUUAUGUUAUACCCGAGAUGGAUCCAACACUGCGGAAGCAAAUCCAGCAGUGCAAUUGGCAGGUCGUUAAUGUAACAACUCCUGCAAAUUAUUUCCAUGUUCUGCGUCGCCAGCUGCCCUUUAUUUCUAGAUACACCGGGACUUCAGGAAGCCUUUGAUUGUGAUGUCCCCAAAGAACCUCCUUCGCCACAAGGACUGCAAGUCGAACCUAUCUGAAUUUGAUGAUCUUGCGGGCCACCCUGGAUUCGACAAACAGGGGACACGCUUCAAGCGUCUCAUUAAGGACCAGAAUAAUCACAAGGACCUCGAGGAGGGAAUCAACCGCCUAGUUCUUUGCUCUGGAAAGGUGUACUAUGAACUGGAUGAAGAAAGAAGGAAGUCGGAGCGCACUGAUGUUGCUAUAUGUAGAGUUGAGCAGCUCUGCCCGUUCCCCUAUGACCUCAUCCAGCGCGAGUUGAAGAGAUAUCCAAAUGCCGAGAUCGUGUGGUGCCAAGAGGAGCCGAUGAACAUGGGAGCAUACAGCUACAUCAACCCGCGGUUGCUGACGGCGAUGAAGGUUCUGGGCCGGGGUGGCAUCGAGGACAUCAAGUACGUCGGCAGGGCCCCGUCGGCUGCUACCGCGACGGGCUUCUACUCGGUGCACGUGCAGGAGCAGACGGAGCUGGUGCAGAAGGCGCUGCAGCGCGACCCCCUCAACUACCCUUUCUGAAAGAAACGAGGCCCCUGUAGAUUCUUGGAAUUGGGGACCUUUUGAAUUUGAUAUAAUACCAAUAUAGAGAGAACAUGCCUUAAAUUUUAUCUGUGCAGCCAUUUGGUGAAAUAAUUGUUUCGACUCUGCAGUACCGCAUGAAACAAACCGUUGUAAGUUUGGAAAAACUCCAUCUCGCAGCGUUGAUUUUGUGUUCCUAAAUGCUGGAAAGUUUGUAUGGCUGAAAGCCUGAAACACCGCCUGCCGCAAUUUUCUUGCGUUGAAUUGCAAAGUCUAUAAAAGCAAUGAACUGAUAUGUCAUUCA